GAUGAACGCUGGCGGCGUGCCUAAUACAUGCAAGUCGAGCGAACGGACGAGAAGCUUGCUUCUCUGAUGUUAGCGGCGGACGGGUGAGUAACACGUGGAUAACCUACCUAUAAGACUGGGAUAACUUCGGGAAACCGGAGCUAAUACCGGAUAAUAUUUUGAACCGCAUGGUUCAAAAGUGAAAGACGGUCUUGCUGUCACUUAUAGAUGGAUCCGCGCUGCAUUAGCUAGUUGGUAAGGUAACGGCUUACCAAGGCAACGAUGCAUAGCCGACCUGAGAGGGUGAUCGGCCACACUGGAACUGAGGCACGGUCCAGACUCCUACGGGAGGCAGCAGUAGGGAAUCUUCCGCAAUGGGCGAAAGCCUGACGGAGCAACGCCGCGUGAGUGAUGAAGGUCUUCGGAUCGUAAAACUCUGUUAUUAGGGAAGAACAUAUGUGUAAGUAACUGUGCACAUCUUGACGGUUCCUAAUCAGAAAGCCACGGCUAACUACGUG
This 497-nucleotide ribosomal RNA is filed under the name uncultured bacterium. RNAcentral's name for it is "partial 16S ribosomal RNA". It matches the Rfam family "Bacterial small subunit ribosomal RNA", at positions 28 to 507 of the family's 1533-position model. The record is from RNAcentral.